AUCAGAUCUUGUACACCAUGUGUGGAGAGUUUGGAAAAUCAGGAAAUUGGUGAGGUUGUGGAGGUAUUUGACGAAUCAUCUUGGAAGAUGGCUACAAUUGUGAAGGUUCUGGAUAACGACUAUUAUCUGGUACACCAGACUGGAUGUCUGAAGGAGCUUUGUGUGCACAGAUCAAAUACGAGAGUGGUGCAAUGUUGGCAAGAUGAGG
Molecule: unclassified non-coding RNA, 208 nt
Filed under: Hevea brasiliensis (rubber tree)
Lineage: Eukaryota; Viridiplantae; Streptophyta; Magnoliopsida; Malpighiales; Euphorbiaceae
Source: RNAcentral